CGCCUUAUACUCCUACGGGAGGCAGCAGUGGGGAAUUUUGGACAAUGGGGGCAACCCUGAUCCAGCAAAGCCGCGUGAGUGAAGAAGGCCUUCGGGUUGUAAAGCUCUUUUGUCAAGGAAGAAACGGUAGUAGCUAAUAUCUAUUACUAAUGACGGUACCUGAAGAAUAAGCACCGGCUAACUACGUGCCAGCAGCCGCGGUAAUACGUAGGGUGCAAGCGUGAAUCGGAAUUACUGGGCGUAAAGCGUGCGCAGGCGGUUGUGUAAGUCAGAUGUGAAAUCCCCGGGCUCAACCUGGUAAUUGCAUUUGAGACUGCACGGCUAGAGUGUGUCAGAGGGGGGUAGAAUUCCACGUGUAGCAGUGAAAUGCGUAAAUAUGUGGAGGAAUACCGAUUGCGAAGGCAGCCCCCUGGGAUAACACUGACGCUCAAGCACGAAACCGUGGGGCGCAAACAGGAUUAAAAGCCCCAGUAGUCCACGUACCA
RNAcentral lists this ribosomal RNA (485 nucleotides) under uncultured bacterium. RNAcentral describes it as "bacterial SSU rRNA". It matches the Rfam family "Bacterial small subunit ribosomal RNA", at positions 327 to 804 of the family's 1533-position model. The record is from RNAcentral.